GUGGAAUAUACUGCAUGUAUGCUUACAUCUCUUGAAUGUAGGCCGAUUUCAAUAUCGAGCAGACAAACGACACUAGGAGGUUGAGAAGGACAGGGACAUGCGACCGACAGCAGAUAAGAGCAAUAAAAUGUGUGAUCCAUUAUGCAGAUAUAAAUUGUUACAAGAAGGGGGCAUGACAUAACAUAAACAAUAUCAAGAUAAAAGAAAAAAAGGACUAAUUUUAAGAGAUUGAUAGAUUCUAGAAUGAGAGUCAUAAACAAUUGAAUCACAGAAAUUUCUCACCUUUUUCCACAUAGAAGAGAUUGUCCAAAUAUGAAGUAGAUUAGAUUGACCAACUGUUGUUGGCAAAACUGUUCUUGCUCAUGAGCAAUGGGUGUGGU
This 380-nucleotide long non-coding RNA is filed under the name Cicer arietinum (chickpea). Its description in RNAcentral is "long non-coding RNA (CARI_LNC003423)". The record is from RNAcentral. Lineage: Eukaryota; Viridiplantae; Streptophyta; Magnoliopsida; Fabales; Fabaceae.